UUUGUGUCCUUGAGCCUUCCUUUGUUUCCUGAGUUGCAGUUUGGAUUUGUUUGUUUGGAUUACAAAGAAUUAAGGCCCUUUUAGUGGACUGCGUCACCCACAUACUUGCAACUUUAUUCAUUUACAUUUCUUAACCAGAAAAGCCCGAAUGGCCAUAAAAGACUCUCUCUUUCAGUGGAGACCUGAAAAGAAAAUCUACAUUUCACAUAGUACUGGGACCAUGACAAGCAAAUAGUAAAGAAAAUGAGUUGAUGACUGCCAAAUCUAAGUUACUGUGUCUUCUGGUCUGGGAUAGCAGCAAAGGGUCCUGCUUACCCAUCUUGUCAAACACACGUGUACCUGUACAAACAGAUACCCAGGACAUGUGGCUGUAAAAGAAAAUUGAUUGCUUCUUCCCAGAUGGCUGUAAACAGAAAAUGGAUUGCUCCUUCCUGGACGGCAGCUCACACACCUACCUUUGCUCAAAACACUAAAUGGAUCACUACUUCUUGGAGAGCUCACACUUCCUUUACUGUAAAAGCUUGGAAUCCAUGUGUAACCUGCCCCCUCCAGAACAUACUACCCUUGCAGCUUAAAUGGCAUGUCUGCUGAUGUCAGCAGAAAGUUUAAACUAAAGAUGCCAGGAAGCUAGGAAUAUACAGUUUCCUCAAAAGUGUGGGGGGGGGGGGCACCCCUUCCCCCUCGCUCUAUGGUUGUGGCACUCAUAGCUGAGUGUGAAUACAUUUCUCUCGUAUUUUGGAGACUGGGGAGAGGAUAGCAGUAGGACAGAAGUUAGAGAUAUCAAAGUUGUUGCCACCUUUAUGAAGUGGAAGAAUGAAAGCACUUUUCCAGAUAUCAGGUAUAUAGGAUUCCUGAAUAGACCUAUUGAGGAGGAUGCUAAUAAGAUAAGCAAGGGAGGAGUCUUGAGAGUGGCAGGUAUUCAGCAGGUAAGUUGUCAGAGGUAUUGGAGCAGGGUUUGAGUUUGUAAAGGAGCAUUUUGAUAGUGGAGGUGUGGGUAUGGGUGUUGGUGUGAAAGCAGGUAGAGGCAUAGAAGAGUGUACAGGUGGAGUUCCUGUUUGGUUAGUUGUUAUAGUUGGAAAGGUGGUAGCCAGUUUCUGAAUGGUAUCUAUGAAGUGCAAGUUAGAGGGAGGCUAUCUCAGAGGGUUUUUCUUGGGGUGUGGACAUGGGUUGUUAGUUUCAGGGUGGAGAGGGGUGUUUAUUGCUCCCCAGAAACUGUUAUGGUUAAGCCUGUGUUGGUCAUGGAUAGUUUAGAAGUAUUCUUUUUUGUUUUUGUUGACUAGGCGUUUAGCCUGAUUGCCGAUUUGUUUAUAAAGAGUGAGGUUGGGCAGGGAAUUUUUUUUUUUGGUCAGGCUUUCCAUGCUUUGCCCCUAGAAGACAUAAUUUGUUUUGUGGACUUGGUAAGACAAAUAGCAUGUUUUGACUUGAUCCUUUUUAAUUGGAGAGGGGCAAGGCUAUUUAGGAUCUUAAGAAAUUUCUUAUCUGCUACCUAUAUAUGUCUCUUCUGUUAUUGUAUGUGCAUCUUUGUAGGGUACAUCUUUGUAGGCUACAUUUCUUCUUCUGUGGUCUUAAUUCUUCCCAUGGACCUGUUCAUUUUCAUUUCUGGAACUGUCUUCCUUUUAGCAUUAUUGUUGCAUGCUCCAAUGUAGUUUCUUAUUUUCCAAAAUGUUCUCUGUUCACAUUUCUUAAUAUAGAAAUGAAGAAGAGCUAUUCCGAAAAACCAAAAAAAAAAAAAAACUGUAGCUUAAGUAAAUAAAUAUGAACAUUUGAUGGCCACAGUUAUUGUGUAUUAAAGAAAUUCAACAGAAUUGUGGCCCAUCGAUUUUGCUUUAAAAUAACUAUAAAUGCCAGUUUCUAUCCAGAAACUGGAAUAAGAAGUAUGCAUUUAUAUAAAAGAUGAAGUUGUCUAAUAAAUUAAUUAGCAUUAGCAGCCAGUCUGUUGGAUGAUAAUGUUUGUUGUAAUUUCUUAAGUGUGGUUCAUUUAUUUAUGAAUCAGCUGUUCUCUGUUUUUUUAAAUAUAUUAUAACAGUAUGCUUAGAACAUUGGCACUGAUAUUUCUGUCAUAGGUAAUACCAAUGUAGCCCUUAUAAAACAGUCAUUUCUUUAAUAACUAAAAUAAAAUCCUCAAUAUUAUAUACUAGCUUUAUUCUCACUGGAUAAUUUACAGCCUCAUGAAUGAUAAAUCGAAAUAUAGUUUGAGUUGUAUAACUAAUGCAUUAUAUUGCUGUUGUGUAUUAUGUGGCUGAGAUUCAGAUACAUGGAUGUCAUAAAGUUUCAUAAAACAAGAGCUUCAUAAACUGCGUACUGCAAAUAGCUGCAGUGCACACAACCAUGGAAAAUGCAAUUCAGAGAUAUUUACCUGCAAUGAGAAAGAACUUGUCAUUUAAUUUGCAUGUCUCUGAAUCAGGUGUAAUGACUGACAGAGCUAAGCAGUACUUUAGGCAAUUUCCACUGGCAGCCCAUACAUCACAUUGACAUAGGAACCUCACAUUCACUCUACCAAACCUAAGCAGACAUUAAUAGACAUGAGUGCGUACACAGGCACACACUCCAUAAGUACUACUCUGAUGAACUUCCCUAAGCUUACUUGCAAAGUGUUCCCUUCCUUUAACUAUAAUGGGGGGGACAGCAUAGUUUUGGCAGAGCUAUCAUGGCCAGUCAUUUUAAUUUUACAUAGCCGAGCAAUUCUCUGAAUCGCUUAGCAUUGUAAAUUAAUUACUGUAGGCAUUUCUGUGGGAGGUAACAUGGCUAAUUACCAUUAGCUACUUCUCAGGAAAGCCUCAGGUAAUAAAAAGAAAUAAAAAAAUCUUUGUUUAAUCUGUCACUACAUUUAGACUGACUAGUACGUACAUGGAACAAACUAGCCAAGUAUGUCAGUUAGCAAUGUAGUCAGACUUAGAAACACAUGCACCAAAUAACACAUGCAAACUCAAUGCUGUUAUUAAAAUACGUUGUUGACUGCUUAGCAAAUAGCAGCACUUUGUUACUCCACAGCAUUAGAGCCACUAUCUAUAAAGUUACCUGUAGGCUUACCUAAAAGAUGUCGAGAACCACAGUGUUUUCAUUUUAGACUUUCUCCAGCUUUUAUAAACGUUUAACUUUCAUAAGUCCUUUUUGCAGAGCAGAUGAAACAGGCACAGAUGCAAUUAACAUUACUAAAAAAAGAUCAGCUAAGUGGACUAUCUGUUCUUUUUAGUUGUGUAUUUAACUCCUACUAGCCUAAGCAGCUGCCUUCUUAAAAUGAGCAUGCCUUCAUAUUGUACUACUGUGCAUAUCAUAUAGCAUGUACUGCUCCAUUUUCUUUACAUUGCAAUGCCCUUCACAUUGUACCUGAAGAAAGACAACUCCUUAUAAAAGUGACCAGUCAUAACAGGAUAGAAUUGCUGCAUCAAAGCUGUUCAUAAUCUAUUUUAUAUUCUGACUGUCAAACUUCCUCUCUGGUGUCUGAAUGUUCUAUGUAUAUGUAGAUUUGGAAUUCUGGUUUCUUUCUGCAUCCUGAACAUAUGCUGUAUGAGAAUUGUCAUUACUUCAUAUUUCCUUUAUGUAUGCAAGCUUUGUGAGAGUGAGCUACUACAUGUAUCCUGUGGUGAGCUGGGAUACCAUUAUUAAGUAGAUCCCUUGUCUUGUGCCCAAUGAGUACUGAGACCAGAUCUAGUUGGUGUGUUACCAUGAAAUGGGUUAAGGAGGUAACUGGAGAAUGAAUUAAGUAAUUUAUCUGCUUGCAGUACAUUCCAGCCUCUCUCUCAUCUUUAAAAUUUCUGAUUUACCUGACAAACUGUUCCUGCAACCAUAAAAAAACAUGUUUAAUUUUCUUGAGAUAUCCAAAUUUACCCCACUGGAUUAAAGAUGUCCAUCUGAGCUUUCAUCUUAGUGCAUACGUGGAGUAUUAUAUCCCAUCCUUGACUUAUCAAAGCAAUCAGCCACAUUGCAUCUCAAUAGUUCACAUCUUUUCCUGUAGCAUGUCCUGCUAGGAAAAAGGAUGCAGUUUUAAACUUCAAGUGUAAUUUUUUUUUGUCUUCAGGAAGAAGUUAUCUUCAGCUUCUAACUUUCACAUUGUGACAUUUUUUGUAAUAAACAUUUAUCUUGCCUUGAAAGUAACUGCAAUAAUCAAGCUUUGUGUCCAACAUCUAAGUACCACCUGAUGUACUACUUUUAAACUCUACUUAACAUUCACCACGUCAGUCAGCCCUUUAUUCAUUACUUAUUCUGUACCUUCUUCCUUCCUGAAUCUCAAUAAAGCACA
Molecule: long non-coding RNA, 4240 nt
Organism: Protopterus annectens (West African lungfish)
Lineage: Eukaryota; Metazoa; Chordata; Ceratodontiformes; Protopteridae
Exons: 3
Source: RefSeq, a predicted model, not a curated record